GGCUUACCUUUUUGUUGUGGGUCUGAUGAAUGACACGAGGUGGAGAAUGAAUUCAACGCAUUGCUCGUGCUAUUUAACAGCGGACUCUGACGGAAUUCUAGUCAAAAUGAAGUUGAUGAUCAAGUCAAGAUGUACUUGACGAUGAACGUCCAUCGCCUAAGAGUCAACAGUAGACAACGAAUGGACAUCGUGUGCAGCAUAACCCAACACAGCAUUAAGAACUCAAACAUAACACAUCAUUAGAAUCGGAUGCCGUUUCGUCCACUUGUCAAGAACAGAGGCUAUAGGGAAUCAACGCCCAUGAAAUACGGGGAUGGAUGUCGUCAAUUGCACCAGCUGAACGUACUUGCGUCAUUUUCAGAAUUCAAGUGUCAUCUCCGCUGACGUUAGACAACAUUAUCCGUGGAAGAUCAAAGAAUUUGAGCUUCCGAGAAACGGUCGUAGGAGUAGAGUCGUAAAUCAGCCCCAACCCACAAUAGUAAGGUGACAUCAAAGGCGCGUAGAGCCACGUUCGCAUUUGCGCCCGAGCAACACAAGACACCGAACCUUUGUACUCGCUGCCUGGAUUUAAAUCUUGGAGAUACCAGUCCUGAGAAUUGCUGUUUUCUUUGAAGGCUGGGCGAGCUAUUUACACCAGUAAUAAACAACGAUAACGGCAAGAUAUAUAUUAACAGAGUGGAGUAAACGAAAAGUUACAAGAUACAUUGCAAUGACAAAACAGGAAUGACAGAAACAGACAUCACCGGACACCGUGGACAAAGUACAUCUGGAUAUUCAAAGUAAUGACGAGUGUAUUUAUGAAGCUGUUGAAAGACGGCCGUAAGUAUGUUCUUUCGCCACAGCAACCGGUAUAUUUAGACGAAAAGAAAACCAACCUAAUGGAUGUAAUACUGGACGAUUAGAAUGAUUGACAGGACAAAAGAAAUGUACAUCAAACAUAUUUGGCUAGAAUCAGGUUACCAACAGUUGCUGCGGAUUUGCACACGAAGACAGUUUAUGUUUGAAAGAAAGCGAGCACCACCUCAGAAUGAGAAAUUGCUUUGAGAAAAUGUUAAACCUGAAAAAGGAAUGUUUGCAUGAAUCUGGUAAAUCGUUAACAAAACAAAAAUCAUGAUUUUUUUGUUGACUUAUUUGCAAAGCGAACCCCAAGAGCAAUUUCCAUCACAAAGGACGGUAUGUUGCUGAAGAGGACAUACGGUUGAAGUAACGACAUUCUGACACUGGUGUUCCUGUGUUUAUUGUUCCUGGUUUCCAAGUCAAUUACUCAAGGUCCUGUAUAAUUGUGACUUGAGUAUAAUUACACUCGUUAACGGUGCUGUAAAAUGGACGUUAUGAAAUAAUAUUUUCAUAUGUAAUUUUUUAAAAAAGAAGAUAUAUUUGAAUAAAAUUUACC
Haliotis rubra (blacklip abalone) is the source of this 1393-nucleotide RNA transcript. RefSeq lists it as uncharacterized. The record is from RefSeq and is a predicted model, not a curated record. NCBI's taxonomy places the organism in Eukaryota, Metazoa, Mollusca, Gastropoda, Lepetellida, Haliotidae. The transcript has 8 exons.